This 788-nucleotide ribosomal RNA is filed under the name Plasmodium ovale (malaria parasite P. ovale). RNAcentral describes it as "SSU rRNA". It matches the Rfam family "Eukaryotic small subunit ribosomal RNA", at positions 717 to 1448 of the family's 1831-position model. The record is from RNAcentral. Lineage: Eukaryota; Apicomplexa; Aconoidasida; Haemosporida; Plasmodiidae.
AUCUCGUUUGCUAUUUUUUAGUAUUGGAGAUUUCGUUACUUUGAGUAAGUUAGAGUGUCCAAAGCAAACAGUUAAAGCAUUUUGAUUGCGUUUGAAUACUACAGCAUGGAAUAACAAAAUUGAACAAGUCAGAAUUCUGUUCUUUUUUCUUAUUUUGGCUUAGUUACGACUAAUAGGAGUAGCUUGGAGGCAUUUGUAUUCAGAUGUCAGAGGUGAAAUUCUUAGAUUUUCUGGAGACAAACAACUGCGAAAGCAUUUGCCUAAAAUACUUCCAUUAAUCAAGAACGAAAGUUAAGGGAGUGAAGACGAUCAGAUACCGUCGUAAUCUUAACCAUAAACUAUGCCGACUAGGUUUUGGAUGAAAAAUUUUUAAAUAAGAAAAUUCCUUUCGGGGAAAUUUUUUAGAUUGCUUCCUUCAGUACCUUAUGAGAAAUCAAAGUCUUUGGGUUCUGGGGCGAGUAUUCGCGCAAGCGAGAAAGUUAAAAGAAUUGACGGAAGGGCACCCCCAGGCGUGGAGCUUGCGGCUUAAUUUGACUCAACACGGGGAAACUCACUAGUUUAAGACAAGAGUAGGAUUGACAGAUUAAUAGCUCUUUCUUGAUUUCUUGGAUGGUGAUGCAUGGCCGUUUUUAGUUCGUGAAUAUGAUUUGUCUGGUUAAUUCCGAUAACGAACGAGAUCUUAACCUGCUAAUUAGCGGCGAAUACGUUAUAUUCUUAUGUGAAAUUGAAUAUAGCUGAAUUUGCUUAUUUUGAAGAAUACAUUAGGAUACAAUUAAUGUGUCCUUUCC